This 491-nucleotide ribosomal RNA is filed under the name uncultured bacterium. Its description in RNAcentral is "bacterial SSU rRNA". It matches the Rfam family "Bacterial small subunit ribosomal RNA", at positions 994 to 1482 of the family's 1533-position model. The record is from RNAcentral.
AAGCUUCAGGAAACUGGAGUGUGCCUCUUGAGGAACCCGGUGACAGGUGCUGCAUGGCUGUCGUCAGCUCGUGUCGUGAGAUGUUGGGUUGAGUCCCGCAACGAGCGCAACCCUUGUCUUUAGUUGCCAUCAUUAAGUUGGGCACUCUAAAGAGACUGCCGGUGUCAAACCGGAGGAAGGUGGGGAUGACGUCAAGUCCUCAUGGCCUUUAUGACCAGGGCUACACACGUACUACAAUGGCAUAGACAAAGGGCAGCGACAUCGCGAGGUGAAGCGAAUCCCAUAAACUAUGUCUCAGUCCGGAUUGGAGUCUGCAACUCGACUCCAUGAAGUUGGAAUCGCUAGUAAUCGUAGAUCAGCAUGCUACGGUGAAUACGUUUCCGGGCCUUGUACACACCGCCCGUCACACCACGGGAGUUGGUUGUACCAGAAGCAGUUGAGCAAACUAUUCGUACAUGCAGGCUGCCAAGGUAUGAUUGGUAACUGGGGUG